UACGUAGGGUGCGAGCGUUGUCCGGAAUUACUGGGCGUAAAGAGCUCGUAGGCGGUUUGUCGCGUCGUCUGUGAAAUUCUGCAGCUUAACUGCAGGCGUGCAGGCGAUACGGGCAGACUUGAGUACUACAGGGGAGACUGGAAUUCCUGGUGUAGCGGUGAAAUGCGCAGAUAUCAGGAGGAACACCGGUGGCGAAGGCGGGUCUCUGGGUAGUUACUGACGCUGAGGAGCGAAAGCGUGGGGAGCAAACAGG
RNAcentral lists this ribosomal RNA (253 nucleotides) under uncultured bacterium. Its description in RNAcentral is "partial 16S ribosomal RNA". It matches the Rfam family "Bacterial small subunit ribosomal RNA", at positions 524 to 776 of the family's 1533-position model. The record is from RNAcentral.